RNAcentral lists this ribosomal RNA (484 nucleotides) under uncultured bacterium. Its description in RNAcentral is "partial 16S ribosomal RNA". It matches the Rfam family "Bacterial small subunit ribosomal RNA", at positions 28 to 507 of the family's 1533-position model. The record is from RNAcentral.
AUUGAACGCUGGCGGCAUGCUUUACACAUGCAAGUCGAACGGCAGCGCGGGCUUCGGCCUGGCGGCGAGUGGCGAACGGGUGAGUAAUGCAUCGGAACGUGCCCAGUAGUGGGGGAUAGCCCGGCGAAAGCCGGAUUAAUACCGCAUACGACCUGAGGGUGAAAGCGGGGGACCGAAAGGCCUCGCGCUAUUGGAGCGGCCGAUGUCGGAUUAGCUAGUUGGUGGGGUAAAGGCUUACCAAGGCGACGAUCCGUAGCUGGUCUGAGAGGACGACCAGCCACACUGGGACUGAGACACGGCUCAGACUCCUACGGGAGGCAGCAGUGGGGAAUUUUGGACAAUGGGGGCAACCCUGAUCCAGCCAUGCCGCGUGCGGGAAGAAGGCCUUCGGGUCGUAAACCGCUUUUGUUCGGGAAGAAAUCCUCUGGGCUAAUACCCCGGGGGGAUGACGGUACCGGAAGAAUAAGCACCGGCUAACUACGUG